RNAcentral lists this ribosomal RNA (240 nucleotides) under uncultured Lactobacillus sp. RNAcentral's name for it is "partial 16S ribosomal RNA". It matches the Rfam family "Bacterial small subunit ribosomal RNA", at positions 122 to 355 of the family's 1533-position model. The record is from RNAcentral. Lineage: Bacteria; Bacillati; Bacillota; Bacilli; Lactobacillales; Lactobacillaceae.
UAACCUGCCCAAGAGAUCGGGAUAGCACCUGGAAACAGAUGCUAAUACCGGAUAACAAUAGAUGGUGCCUAUCAACUGUUUAAAAGAUGGUUCUGCUAUCACUCUUGGAUGGACCUGCGGUGCAUUAGCUAGUUGGUAGGGUAACGGCCUACCAAGGCGAUGAUGCAUAGCCGAGUUGAGAGACUGAUCGGCCACAUUGGGACUGAGACACGGCCCAAACUCCUACGGGAGGCAGCAGCC